Molecule: ribosomal RNA, 479 nt
Filed under: uncultured bacterium
Lineage: Bacteria
Description: bacterial SSU rRNA
Rfam family: Bacterial small subunit ribosomal RNA
Source: RNAcentral
AUUGAACGCUGGCGGCAUGCCUUACACAUGCAAGUCGAACGGCAGCACGGGGCAACCUGGUGGCGAGUGGCGAACGGGUGAGUAAUGCAUCGGAACGUGCCAUUGAGUGGGGGAUAACGUAGCGAAAGUUGCGCUAAUACCGCAUAUUCUGUGAGCAGGAAAGCAGGGGACCGCAAGGCCUUGCGCUCUUUGAGCGGCCGAUGUCAGAUUAGCUAGUUGGUGAGGUAACGGCUUACCAAGGCGACGAUCUGUAGCGGGUCUGAGAGGAUGAUCCGCCACACUGGAACUGAGACACGGUCCCGACUCCUACGGGGGGCAGCAGUGAGGAAUAUUGGGCAAUGGGCGAAAGCCUGACCCAGCAACGCCGCGUGGAGGAUGAAGGCUUUAGGGUUGUAAACUCCUUUUGUGGGGAAAAGAAUGGAUGGUACCCCAAGAAUAAGUCACGGCUAACUACGUGCCAGCAGCCGCGGUAAGGCGUA